AGUGAAAUCAGUUCUCAUAUGGAAACUCCAAGAGCCUUGUCCUAUUGGUAACCAGUGUAUGCUACACUCUGUGUGGUUGUCAUUUCUGUGGAAGCUGAGUCUACCAGUACAGUUGGUUAAAGAUUGUUGAAUGAAGAAAGAUUCUUUGUGAAUUUGCCACAGGCAAAAGGCAGAGAGAGAUCAGGAAAUGCACCUACAAAGCUGCAGUUUGAUAAAUGGCUAAUGAGGACUCCAUGGUUUCCUCCUGAAUAUAGAUAGGGACACCUUAAAGGAAGGAGUUAGGGAGAAGGGGAAGGAAUUUGUAUAAAGUACUCUAUUCAUUAUAGGUGCUAUGGGUGGAGUCGUAAAAGAAACAAAGACACUGAUUUCUUUUUUAGUUGGAAAGUCAGAUACUAAGAAAAAUAAGAAAGUUGCAUUAUGAUGUGUUAUGAAGACAAAGCAGGCAAAGAAAUGAUGUGCUUGUCACUGUAGGUUUUUAGGAGAGGACUCUGGCGAGAACAAUGGGAGACCAUGAUGAGAAUGUGGGCAUCUGGGGAAGAGGCCCCAUUCCUCUGUGAAGGAAACAUUCCUGGUGUUCCAGGAACAGGAAGAAACCUAGUGUGACCAGAGAGCAGGAAAAGGAAAAGAGGUCCGUGAGGUCUGAGAAGGGUCAAGUUGGGAGCCAGGUUAUGCCAGGCCUCACAGAACUUUGAGAACCACUGGAACAAUUUUAGUAGAGAAAUUCAUUUUGUAAAAGGAUUAUCUUAGCUGCUAUGUGAAGAGUGGAUGAAAGGUGGCAAAGGUGGAAGACUGGUUAGGUUUUUGCACAUGUGAGGGAUGGUUAUGGCUUAACAAUGGUGUUAGUAACAGAAAUAGAAAUCAGUGGAUUCUGGACAUAUUUUUCAAGGUAUUACCAAAAGGAUUUUCUAAUUGACUGGAUGUGGGGUAUGAGAGAAUGUGACCGGAAGGUUCCUAGCCUGGCUACUAGAAAGAUUAGAAUUGUUAGUAUCUGAGAAAGGGAAGAUGGAAAAGAAGAGAUUCUAUGUAUCUGAGAUGGACAUGUUAAUUCUGGUGAGACAUCCAGGUGGGGAUUCAGGCAGUUAGAUGUGCAAGCCCAGCAGUAUGGAUGAGGUCUGAGAGAAUAUAAAUUUUAGACUCAACAUUAUGUAGAUUCAUUUGAAAGUAUUAGGAUGUGGGGAAAAAAAUCACCAAAGAAGGGAUAUAGAUAGAAAAGAGGACAUAUAACCAGCUCAUUUCCAUCUUCUUGAAAGAGAUUUCCUUGAAUGUUGGUGCAGUGGUACAUGCCUGUUAUCCCAGUUACUUGGAAUGCUGAGGCAGGGGCACCACAAGUUUGAGGCCAGCCCCUGCAGCUUAGGAAGAUUCCGUCACAAAAUGGAUAUAGCUCAGUGGUAGAGUGUUAGCAUGCAUGAGGCCAUGGGUUCAUCCCCAGUACUGGAGGGAAAAUGUAUAUACUAAGAGGUGACCUUGAAUAUGUUAUGUCUAUGGAUGUAAUUGUUCAGAGCAUUUUUGGAAUUUGUUGAAAUUGCUUCUUUCCUCCAAAAGAAUAUGGUUUUGAUGGUGGCAAGUAAUUAUCAUUUGUAAAAUAGAUUUAAUUUUAGGGAGCCACAAAUCAUGUUCAUCCGAAUAUGAAAUUUAGUAGUGUGGCUAAUAAGCCUAAGCAAUAUCAUUUUUUACAGUGAAAUAUAACUAGCCAGGCAUGAUGGCAGACCCCUGUAAUCCCAGCUACUCAGGAAGCUGAGGCAGGAACAUUGUAAGUUAAAGUACGUAACUUUAUUUUGACCUUGUUUCA
This 1789-nucleotide long non-coding RNA is filed under the name Marmota monax (woodchuck). Lineage: Eukaryota; Metazoa; Chordata; Mammalia; Rodentia; Sciuridae. The record is from RNAcentral.